GUAGUCUGCAACUCGACUACAUGAAGCUGGAAUCGCUAGUAAUCGCGAAUCAGAAUGUCGCGGUGAAUACGUUCCCGGGUCUUGUACACACCGCCCGUCACACCAUGGGAGCCGGAAACGCCCGAAGUCAGUGGCCCAACCGGAAGGAGGGAGCUGCCGAAGGCAGGGCUGGUAACUGGGGUGAAGUCGUAACAAGGUAGC
This 201-nucleotide ribosomal RNA is filed under the name uncultured bacterium. RNAcentral describes it as "partial 16S ribosomal RNA". It matches the Rfam family "Bacterial small subunit ribosomal RNA", at positions 1300 to 1500 of the family's 1533-position model. The record is from RNAcentral.